Molecule: long non-coding RNA, 546 nt
Filed under: Cavia porcellus (domestic guinea pig)
Lineage: Eukaryota; Metazoa; Chordata; Mammalia; Rodentia; Caviidae
Description: lncRNA (ENSCPOG00000032680.1)
Source: RNAcentral
CCCCAGGGUUGGCCGGGUUCCCCUGCGGGCGAAACAAAGAAGUAGGAGCCAGGACUCCGCUGGCGGCGAACCAGGCGCCGGGACCGGGAGCCCCUGAGACGCGACGACACGGGCUUGUUCGACUGCACCUUUCUUCGUCUGGAUAAAGGCUGGCUGCUUCGGUCUCUGCACCACCCAGAACCGCCGCCGCGCCCGCGGAGGCCUGCAGGUCUCACCCACCCAGUCUGGACGCUCACUCGGGCAGCGCUGACUGCCGGUGCUCCCCGAAGUCCCGACACCUGGACCCUCGAAUGGCUCGGCGCCAGCUCCGGCUUUCCUACCUGGUGGCUGGGCCUGAACCUUGCGCUGGGGCUCCGCUGUCUCUGCUCGACUGCCUGGACCUGAGUGGGUCUGGCGAACAGAGAGAGAAAGGCUAGAUCCGCAGCCCUGGGCUGCUCCAAACUUAAUGUCUUUCCCCAGUCCAUCUUUGAAAGAGAAGUGGUUCUACCACCUGGAUGUGCGGAUAUAAAUCCCCUUGCAAAUAAUAAAUGGAUUAAUAAUAACAAG